RNAcentral lists this ribosomal RNA (450 nucleotides) under uncultured archaeon. Its description in RNAcentral is "bacterial SSU rRNA". It matches the Rfam family "Archaeal small subunit ribosomal RNA", at positions 24 to 437 of the family's 1478-position model. The record is from RNAcentral.
CCCGACUGCUAUCGGAUUGGGAUUUAGCCAUGUUAGUUGUGCGUUCCUUGGCUACAGGGGACGCAGCAUACGGCUCAGUAACACCGUAGUCAACCUGCCCUGGAGACGCGGACAACCCCGGGAAACUGGGGCCUAUCCGCGAUAGAUGGCCUCAUCCGGAAGGAGAGGCCGUCCAAAUGGGUGCACGGGUAUGCUCUGUGCAAACCGCUCCAGGAUGGGACUGCGGCCGAUCAGGCUGUUGGCAGGGUAAUGGCCCACCAAACCUGUAACCGGACGGGCUUGAGAGAAGGAGCCCGAGAGGACACGAGACAAGGGUCCAGGCCCUACGGGGCGCAUCAGGCGCGAAAACUUCGCAAUGCGCGAAAGCGCGACGAGGCUAGUCCGAGUGCUUCCCGCUAAAGGGAGCUCUCUCGCGCCGAACUGUGAACGCCGCCCCCAGGCCCAUCAUGA